Molecule: long non-coding RNA, 857 nt
Organism: Aethalodelphis obliquidens (Pacific white-sided dolphin)
Lineage: Eukaryota; Metazoa; Chordata; Mammalia; Artiodactyla; Delphinidae
Exons: 3
Source: RefSeq, a predicted model, not a curated record
ACCAGGCGUGGGGAGCCGAGCAGCGGAGCGCAUCGAUGGGCGCCCCUGCCCCCGAGCAGGUGUGCGGGGGAGGAAGAGCCCGGACCCCACCUGGCCGCCUGCGAGAGACCAGUCCCCAGGUCCCCAGCGGGUAGUCAGGGCCCACACGGAGGAGAGGGGAAGAGCAUAGCCUGCCUGAGCCCUGCGCAGUGUGUGUCUACCGUCUUCGUCCUCGCAGUCGCCCGUGUUGCCGAGAAGAACUGAGGCUCACGCGGGGGAACGUUCCGUGCCCACGGCCCCAUAGCUGCGAAGGACACAGGCAGGAUUGGCAACCAGGCCGUCUGGCUCCAGCGCACUGGAGAGCGCUCACUGCCAGGAAGGAAACCACGCUGUUCACGGCCAAUCUGCAGAGUGACGGGGUGGAAACGGACCCCAGUAUGUUUCUUCCAGAUGAAAUGGGUAACUCAUUCCACAGGAAGGGCUGCAUGUAUGCCCUUGGAGUGUGUGAAACUGACGACUGCACCGCCUUCCUCCCCCUGCCCUGCCAGGGAUAUCACGUGGCCUUGCAAAGGCCACCCAGCUGUUCGGGACAGAGCUGGGCCCCGCAUGCGUCACCCUGCACCCCUGGCCUGCUGACUUCCGAGGCCCCUGAGUGAGGUGGGGCUAUCUGGGGGCAAGAUAAGAAGAGCCAGCCUUCUAAGGAAGGGGGCUGCCUGGGCUCGGGGGGCUUCACCGCUUUCCUUCAAACUGCUGAAAACUUCAGAGGGCCAGAGCUCAGGCAGGCUGCAGAGACCCUCCGAAGUUUAUCGACGAGAGACGAAAGAGGAAAUUGUGGUAUCUUUAUCACCAGACAGCUAGGGCUGAGGGAGGUUUACUGA